RNAcentral lists this transfer RNA (83 nucleotides) under Candidatus Karelsulcia muelleri. RNAcentral describes it as "tRNA-Leu". It matches the Rfam family "tRNA". Rfam says of the family: Transfer RNA (tRNA) molecules are approximately 80 nucleotides in length. Their secondary structure includes four short double-helical elements and three loops (D, anti-codon, and T loops). The record is from RNAcentral. Lineage: Bacteria; Pseudomonadati; Bacteroidota; Flavobacteriia; Flavobacteriales.
GCCUGGAUGGUGAAAUGGGUAGACACGCUGAACUCAAAAUUCAGUGAUUAAAAAUCUUGUGGGUUCAAAUCCCACUCCAGGUA